This 301-nucleotide ribosomal RNA is filed under the name uncultured bacterium. RNAcentral's name for it is "partial 16S ribosomal RNA". It matches the Rfam family "Bacterial small subunit ribosomal RNA", at positions 509 to 809 of the family's 1533-position model. The record is from RNAcentral.
CAGCAGCCGCAGGAAUACGAAGGGUGCAAGCGUUACUCGGAAUUACUGGGCGUAAAGCGCGCGUAGGUGGUUUGUUAAGUUGGAUGUGAAAUCCCCGGGCUCAACCUGGGAACUGCAUCCAAAACUGGCAAGCUAGAGUAUGGUAGAGGGUGGUGGAAUUUCCUGUGUAGCGGUGAAAUGCGUAGAUAUAGGAAGGAACACCAGUGGCGAAGGCGACCACCUGGACUGAUACUGACACUGAGGUGCGAAAGCGUGGGGAGCAAACAGGAUUAGAUACCCCCGUAGUCCCUGUCUCUUAUAA